This is a long non-coding RNA of Talpa occidentalis (Iberian mole), 894 nucleotides long. RefSeq lists it as uncharacterized. The record is from RefSeq and is a predicted model, not a curated record. The transcript is spliced from 4 exons. NCBI's taxonomy places the organism in Eukaryota, Metazoa, Chordata, Mammalia, Eulipotyphla, Talpidae.
CUCUGGAGCUCCUUGGAGCCACCACCCACGCUCCGGUGACCGGCCCUUCCUCUGUGCUCUCGCUCGCCGGUGUGGGUGCCCAGGCUGCAGGUCACCCGAGGAGCCCAAGAGACUGAACCCCCAUCAGGAGGGAGCCCUGGCGAGAGUGAAGCCCGGCCUGCACCCGGGUGGCCGCGAUCCGUGUUCCGAGCUGCACACAGGGGCGUCUGGUGGCCGCCUGGGGACGGGGCGCCCGGGAACCCCAGCGGGUCGCUGCGUUGGUGGGAGACUGCUCUGCACCCCAGCAGAGAAGAGCAGCGCGUGCCUGCCGGGCGGGCUGCCGCAUCCAGGGCACUCUGGCCCAGCUCCGUGCCCACGGGAUGCUGAGACUCCAGGGAGAACAGAGGAGGAAGAGCUGAGGCUCGAGAAGGAAUUUGGGGCCACGACUCUGCCGCUUGCAGCUCAGACCAGGCUGUAUAGGUGAUUGAAACAGGAAUAGAACCACAUCCUGCCCUUCAGAAUUUUCCGAGAUAUGUGCAGUUGCAACAGUUUUCCUACUAGAAGCCACAGAUUCUAUAAGUCCAAUCAACAUAAACAAUACACUGUGCAGAAGAUUCAGUGAACUCAAUUAUUUCUUUGCACCUGAAGGCACUACGUCAUGAGGCCCAAAUGCUUGGGGAGAGAUUGGCACAUGAGAUAAUCAAGAAAGGCCACAUGUCAUCAUAAGGAAUUGCGACGCACAACACAACAGGAUCUGUUUUUAUUCCCCUUGAUCGGGAUGACAGCAGGAGAAAUCAAUUAGCCAAGUAUUCAUAAAUAAUGCCUUUAAAUGAAGUCCUGAAUUUUGCUCAGAAACUCCAAUGAUAACGAGCUCAAAGCUUCACCAAUAACUCAGUCGAAACAUCCUGUUGAUCC